Molecule: ribosomal RNA, 253 nt
Filed under: uncultured bacterium
Lineage: Bacteria
Description: partial 16S ribosomal RNA
Rfam family: Bacterial small subunit ribosomal RNA
Source: RNAcentral
UACGGGGGGGGCAAGCGUUGUUCGGAAUUACUGGGCGUAAAGGGCUCGUAGGUGGCCAACUAAGUCAGACGUGAAAUCCCUCGGCUUAACCGGGGAACUGCGUCUGAUACUGGAUGGCUUGAGGUUGGGAGAGGGAUGCGGAAUUCCAGGUGUAGCGGUGAAAUGCGUAGAUAUCUGGAGGAACACCGGUGGCGAAGGCGGCAUCCUGGACCAAUUCUGACGCUGAGGAGCGAAAGCCAGGGGAGCAAACAGG